GACGAACGCUGGCGGCGUGCUUAACACAUGCAAGUCGAACGGUGAAGCGCUUUCCUUUUUGGUUGGUGUGGAUGAGUGGCGAACGGGUGAGUAACACGUGAGUAACCUGCCCCCUUCUUCUGGAUAACCGCAUGAAAGUGUGGCUAAUACGGGAUAUUCUGCGCCUGCUGCAUGGUGGGUGUGGGAAAGAUUGUGCCUUUGGGUGUUUUCGGUGGGGGAUGGGCUCGCGGCCUAUCAGCUUGUUGGUGGGGUGAUGGCCUACCAAGGCGGUGACGGGUAGCCGGCCUGAGAGGGUGGACGGUCACACUGGGACGGAGACACGGCCCAGACUCCUACGGGAGGCAGCAGUGGGGAAUAUUGCACAAUGGGCGCAAGCCUGAUGCAGCGACGCCGCGUGAGGGAUGGAGGCCUUCGGGUUGUGAACCUCUUUCGCCAGUGAAGCAGGCCUGCUCCUUGUGGGUGGGUUGACGGUAGCUGGAUAAGAAGCGCCGGCUAACUACGUG
Molecule: ribosomal RNA, 503 nt
Filed under: uncultured bacterium
Lineage: Bacteria
Description: partial 16S ribosomal RNA
Rfam family: Bacterial small subunit ribosomal RNA
Source: RNAcentral